AAAAGCAAAAUAAAUUCAUACAUACUGUAAUACAGUAAGCCUGAGUAUUUAAUUUAAUUUAUAAUAACUAGUGGGCCCUCGAAUAACUAAAAGUAAGAAAAACUGUGAACCUAUAGUUUGGAGGAUGCAAAUCCAAUGGUAGCCUCGAUGAAAUCAGCUAUCUACAGCCUAUUCUGAGCCUGAAAUGGGUGGAAAGGAAGGUGGUGAGAUUAUAUAAUCCCAGUGAGUAAACAAAUACCAUCUAAAAUAUCUAAAGCCGAGUAAAUGGAGACAGAUAAAAUAGUUUAACAUAUUGUAAUUCAUCACCUUUCAACUUGUUUCAACCAAAUAAAAUCAAUUCAUAUAAAUCGAGUAAUUAACAUGGCUUAUGAAUUUCUUAAAAGUUUGGCUCGUGCCAAAAUCAUUCUCAUACCCAAUUAUCAAGGAUACCUUGAUCGAGGGCUAUCCCAACCGAGUCCGCCAAGGCUGUUAAAAAGUUAUGUACGUAUAAAUUAUGUUUUUAUUUUGAAAAUAUAGCCGUUCCUUGGCGUUGGCUGAGUUCACCCUCACGUGGUGGUUUGGCGUGAAGUGAACUCUAAAGUUAUACCUCGGGAGAUACCCUACUCGCCUCUCCAACAGAGGUAAAAUAUAACAGGAUUCUGUGCCUCUCUAAUAGGCUGGUCUAUAGAAAAUCCGCCUACUGCAGCAAGUUAAACCCACCAUACAAUAAAAUUUACAAUAGCAUGACAUGACAAUUAUUUUAUUUUAUUUUAUAGCUUUUCAAGGCAAAUAAACAAUUUAUACAUUUCCAACACAUUUAUCAAAUCAACCAUUCAUGCCAAUAUUGCCAUAAGCCAAUCAAUUGGAAUCAUGAAUUUACAACACACAAAAACAGUCUCCAAUUACUCUAUUUUCAAACCAUCAUUCAAUUUCAAGACAAUUUUUAAAAUCAUUUUAUUUAAACACAUUUUGUUUAUAAAAUCAAAAAAUUAAUCAUUUAAUUCAUUUUCCAUAAAAUUCACAAAAUCAAAUAAAACAUACUUUAGAUAAUUAAGAUGAUGAUAAGGUUACUCACUAUUUUGGGAGUCAAAUUCCAAGUACUCCAAUUCUUGAUCCUCGGGUACUAUCUCUUUACUUUUACCAGAAUACUCACCAUCUAGACAUAAUGCACAAUAAGCCAUUUACUACAUUGUGCUAAAUUGUUAUAAAACCAAUUCAGGCUUGAUACUAAUGUAUGAAAUGGGAUGCAAAUUGUUCGAUUAUUGUCUAAACACGGUAUUCUACACAAAUUCAAUUGUGUACCUAAAUUAAACGGUAUUGGUCUAAUUCGAUCUAUCACUCGAUUAAUUGGCCAAUACGUCCAAUUCAACUCCAAAUAAUUUCAUUUUUCUCCCAAUACUCCAAAUCAUCAAACACAAAUUAAAUAACUUAAAAUAGGGCAAAAUCAUCCUCACAUUUUCUCUUGAAAAAUUCGACCAUGGUGGGUGCAUCAAUAUUAUGAUUUUUCCUACUUGAUUUUCACACCAUAAAUCACUAAUUCCUAACCAAAUCACUUGAAAUAAAAUCAAAAUCAUCAUCAAUAUUCCACAUGGAGAAUUCGGCCAAUGAUGGGUGAUGGGAGAAAAUGAAUUUUUCUUGUUGGCUUUUCAUGCUACACAACACUAACUAACUAAAAACACUAAAAUAUCUUAAAAUCUAACCAAAUCAAGCAUCAAAACCUCUCUCUAAGUGUUCAGCCAGCAAGAUACCCAUCAUGAAAUCAUGUGAUUCAACCAUGGAAAAUGCAAAAGAAUGCAUGAGAAAGGUAGAUCACACGUCAAAAUCAAGAAAUUUUACCUUUGAUUGUUUGAUUACUUGAAAUCCACUAAUUUUCUCUUGAAUUUUCACCCUAGGGUUCUUGUUCUUUCUUUUCUUCCUUUGUUCUUCCUUUGGCCGGCCAUAUGAAGAGAAAUAGGCUGAUU
Molecule: long non-coding RNA, 1940 nt
Filed under: Theobroma cacao (cacao)
Lineage: Eukaryota; Viridiplantae; Streptophyta; Magnoliopsida; Malvales; Malvaceae
Description: long non-coding RNA (TCAC_LNC003400)
Source: RNAcentral